This is a long non-coding RNA of Folsomia candida, 3085 nucleotides long. RefSeq lists it as uncharacterized. Lineage: Eukaryota; Metazoa; Arthropoda; Collembola; Entomobryomorpha; Isotomidae. The transcript is spliced from 3 exons. The record is from RefSeq and is a predicted model, not a curated record.
UCUUGCUUAACAACAGUCCUGUUGCUAAGCAAUAUAUUUGUAGGUUUCAUUAUUUAAUACAUUAAUAUUUAAUGUUGAAAAUAAAAUAGACAAAAAUUAAAUACAUCAUGUUAAAAAUUCUGUCGCAAUUUUGAUCCUACAUACUUUAAAAUAUAAUCAAAAAAUGCAUAUUAAAAGUUACUCGACAAUGUGAUAUUUAUUCGGGGAAAGAACCAUAAUUGCGUAAAACAAUGGACGUAAAUGGUGAAAAAUUGACAAUGAUGAUCAUUUGUCAUCAUAGAAACAACGGAUUGGACACCGUACUAAUGCAGAGGGUCACAAAUACUAAUAUGCCGAUCUCCACAGCCUCAAAUCCGGCAAGCUCGCAGGCUUCACAACGUCAGAAACUACAUAUGUAUUCCGAGUCAACCAUAAGAAUUCAGAUUUGGCCAACUACUGCACCCCGCGAGGAUAAUUCUUUCCCUGUCCGUAUAAAAAAUUUAGCAUAUCUACCAUGACCAUGAUGUGAUCCAAUUAAGUGUUAUCCAAGAAAUGGUAAUUUCUCGCAUAAGAAAGUCAAUAAUCUAAUUUUUCGCCUGAAAUUUCAAUUUUCUAGAAAUUGAAUUCAUAUAACGAUGACGUAAAUCUGGCAUUUAAUUCGAUACUCUUCAAACAUACAUAAGUAGCUAUUUCGCACAUUACUUUGACGAUUAUGUACGGUACCAUUAUCAGGCCUUGUCUGUGUUGAAUUAUAGUUUUUAAGAUAGCACUGUAAGUGUGACGGUUGUUUUGAACGGGAUGGAGUGUGCAACAUUGGAGGAAUUACAAUUCCUAGUAUGUAUGUAUGUACUAAGACAUCAUGAUAAAAAAUAUGCACACGUUGAAUACCGGAAUAAUAAUUAUACUCAAUUCCUGAUUUAUUUAAAAUAUUUUAAGGUCAAAUUGGGCCCAAAUUAGGGUCAAAUAGCCUAACUUAAGCUAAACCUUUUGAAUUAAAUCGUACGGGUAGUCAAGAGAACGGGUUAUUCUGACUGAUACUCCUGGUGUAUUCUUUUAGUUUAACUUAUUUUAUUCGUAAUACAUAAUAUGUAGGAACUAUCAAAACAAUUUAUAAUAAUAAUUCUAAUACCAUCAUCCAUAUAACUAAUUAAUAACAAGGUAUUGCAUAAUUUUAAAGGAGCCAGAGUUAAAUCUACAUACCAUAUCUUAUAAAUGGCCAAAUACAUAAUAUGGUCCUUACAUAUGCUAAAAUAACUUGGACACACUCCAAUAUUUGUCUUUCGGGACUAAUAAAGCGUUAUCGCUUGUUAUCAAAUGUGGCCUAAAUUUCCUGUUUAAAUAAUCUGCGUGAGAAGUUCGCGUAUGUAUACGUUGGACUUGUUACCUGUAAAUCACUAUAUCAAUGUGACCCGUUUUUUUAUACAAAGAGAACAAUUACGUUCUGCUAAAUGAAACCAAGUUCCUGAUUAAGUUCAGAUGUGCAUUUCAAGUCUAUAUUUGUAUCGUAGAUUUGAAUCGAUUACUAGAAAUUAACACGCUAUUCAGCAAAGAGUUACCGCAGGAUCCAUGUUCCAUCGGGUCUAUCCAUGUCUCGUCUGUGGCAUAGGGAGGACCGUGUCAUAUUGCAAUUGUAUCACCAUUAAGAGUUCACAUGUAAACAAACAGAUCGGGUUGGGGUCCAUCCGACCCAAAUAUGUAUAUAAGUGACUCUAUUGACCGUAGUCAGAAACAUUAGUUCAAUAUUACUUCGAAAAUUAUUUCGGAAAUAUUUGCCAGAAAGAAAUAAUGAAAAUGGUUAUCGUAAUUUGAUGGUUAUCAUAAGGACAUGGUACCUGGAAGAUGACAUGAGAUUUAACGAGUUUUAACCUCGCAGAAUCUUUUACAUACAACACAUGCCUCGUGUAUGAGAUUGCAGGUUACACGGCGCAUGGAUGACGUAAACAAAACAUAGGUCGGAAAAAACCUGCUACCUGAUUUUUUCUUUUAACCGUUUUAGACAUAAUUUUGGGCGGAAAUUCAAAAAUAGGCAUAGUUUUAAAAUGUCACAACCGCGUGACCGUGUAGAUGACGCCAAAGGAAUCGUACGUCGAAAUGAGGCAAAAUGAGAUUUUUAUAAAAAUUGAAUCUAUUAAAAUAAAAAUUGAAACGAUUCCUCUCUGAUUUUUAAGACACUCUUUAUGUAUACCUGUGAAAAUCACACAUUUUGGGUUGGUGGAGCCCUACUGUUUUUCAUAAUUUGCAGGUACACCCUCCUUCGUGUAGAAAUAUCAGAUCUCAUAAGAACCACGGCUCGCUUGUUAAUUGUUCCGUACUUAUAUCUUAACUUCCUUAAAACCUUUAUGAAUGUAGACUUGGAUGGAACACCAAAAUGGGGUCAGAGUUUCACCGUUCGCAAUUCGAGUAGCCUCUGCUUAAAAACUUAUCAUAUACAUAUGUUGUCCAAUACUGAAAAAGAACUCCUAUUUCUACCAAAAAAAUCACAUUUUCAAAGGUAUCGAGAAUGAUGAAUAGGUUUAGGCAAACAAAACUAGAAAAUUGUAUUUCUUAAUGAUGUGCUUAAUAGGAGAGUUAAGGUAUCUAUCUAUCGGUUUUCCUACCGGGAGUAUACAAGAAUAGAGAGAUUCAGAUAAUUACUAGAAACGUGACCAAAACCCAAAACUGUACAUAUAUAUUGUAGAAUUAAUACGUGUACAAAAAUGACUACCACUCUUUUACUUGCACACUUAUGUAUGAUCCAUUUAACUACUUAUAACUAACGAUCGGUCACACCUAAGGUUGUAAUUGAUGCGAAUUAAUAUGAAAAUAUGCAGUUCCUUUCUAUACCACAUGUAUUUAUUAGUGUGCAGUUAAAUUUUUACCAACAAUUUAAUUUAACAAAUAUUAAUAUAUAAAUUAUGUUUAUGAUAUGUGUCAAAUUUUAUGCAAGAAUACUGGUAGUUGUGCAAAAAAUAUUGAGAAACUUAUAUUAUCAAUGUAUGUAUAACCUAGAAUUAAUUAAACUUUUGCGUAGUGACUUGUUGUCUUGCGUACAUACUUCAAAAUUUCAAAAUUUACGUUUACGGGGGUUUAAAAUUAUACAAUAAAAUAAACUUAUGCAGUAAUAAUA